AUUGAACGCUGGCGGCAGGCCUAACACAUGCAAGUCGAACGGUAACAGGGAUCAGCUUGCUGAUUCGCUGACGAGUGGCGGACGGGUGAGUAAUGUCUGGGAAACUGCCUGAUGGAGGGGGAUAACUACUGGAAACGGUAGCUAAUACCGCAUAACGUCGCAAGACCAAAGAGGGGGACCUUCGGGCCUCUUGCCAUCGGAUGUGCCCAGAUGGGAUUAGCUAGUAGGUGGGGUAACGGCUCACCUAGGCGACGAUCCCUAGCUGGUCUGAGAGGAUGACCAGCCACACUGGAACUGAGACACGGUCCAGACGCCUACGGGAGGCAGCAGUGGGGAAUAUUGCACAAUGGGCGCAAACCUGAUGCAGCCAUGCCGCGUGUAUGAAGAAGGCCUUCGGGUUGUAAAGUACUUUCAGCGGGGAGGAAGGGAGUAAAGUUAAUACCUUGGCUCAUUGACGUUACCCGCAGAAGAAGCACCGGCUAACUCCGUG
This 490-nucleotide ribosomal RNA is filed under the name uncultured bacterium. RNAcentral describes it as "partial 16S ribosomal RNA". It matches the Rfam family "Bacterial small subunit ribosomal RNA", at positions 30 to 507 of the family's 1533-position model. The record is from RNAcentral.